Molecule: non-coding RNA, 31 nt
Organism: Sarcophilus harrisii (Tasmanian devil)
Lineage: Eukaryota; Metazoa; Chordata; Mammalia; Dasyuromorphia; Dasyuridae
Source: Rfam
CAUUUUUCUUAAACAGUGCUUUAAAAAAAUU